GACGAACGCUGGCGGCGUGCUUAACACAUGCAAGUCGAACGGAAAGGCCUCUUUCGGGGGGUACUCGAGUGGCGAACGGGUGAGUAACACGUGAGUAACCUGCCCUUGACUUUGGGAUAACUUCAGGAAACUGGGGCUAAUACCGGACAGGAGCUCCUGCUGCAUGGAGGGGGUUGGAAAGUUUCGGCGGUUGGGGGUGGGCUGGCGGGUUAUCGGCUUGUUGGUGGGGUAGUGGCUUACCAAGGCCUUGACGGGUAGCCGGCCUGAGAGAGUGAUCGGCCACAUUGGGACUGAGGGACGGCCCAGGCACCUACGGGAGGCAGAAGUGGGGAAGAUUGAACAAGGGGUGGAGGCCUGAUGCAGCAGCGCUGUGGGCGGGAUGACGGUCUUCGGGUUGUAAAACGCUUUCGCUCAUGACGAAGCUUUGUGUGACGGUAGUGGGUAAGGAAGCACCGGCUAACUACGCG
RNAcentral lists this ribosomal RNA (467 nucleotides) under uncultured bacterium. Its description in RNAcentral is "partial 16S ribosomal RNA". It matches the Rfam family "Bacterial small subunit ribosomal RNA", at positions 28 to 507 of the family's 1533-position model. The record is from RNAcentral.